Molecule: ribosomal RNA, 215 nt
Filed under: uncultured bacterium
Lineage: Bacteria
Description: partial 16S ribosomal RNA
Rfam family: Bacterial small subunit ribosomal RNA
Source: RNAcentral
UGGGAACCUUCCCUAUGGUUCGGAAUAGCUCAGGGAAACUCGAGGUAAUACCGGAUAAGCCCUUCGGGGAAAGAUUUAUCGCCAUUGGAUGGGCCCGCGUCGGAUUAGCUAGUUGGUGAGGUAACGGCUCACCAAGGCAACGAUCCGUAGCUGGUCUGAGAGGAUGAUCAGCCACACUGGGACUGAGACACGGCCCAGACUCCUACGGGAGGCAG